AAUAAGUAAUUGUCCCAAGGUAAAGCGGAUUCCUCUCUAUCUUCCACAGCUUGAGGUUGAUGAUGAGGGACAACUAUCUCCUUUUAAUACUCUCUAGGAAAUCCACGUGCGGACAACAGAUUGGUGGGAAUCAGUGGAGUGGGAGCACCCUAAUCUCAAUGUUAAGAAUGUUGUUCAACCUUUGCUCAAGUUCUGCAAUCGCUACAAGUUGGAGUGGAGGCCAGCUGUU
RNAcentral lists this long non-coding RNA (229 nucleotides) under Gossypium barbadense (sea-island cotton). RNAcentral describes it as "long non-coding RNA (GBAR_LNC010895)". The record is from RNAcentral. Lineage: Eukaryota; Viridiplantae; Streptophyta; Magnoliopsida; Malvales; Malvaceae.